This is a long non-coding RNA of Arabidopsis lyrata subsp. lyrata, 885 nucleotides long. RefSeq lists it as uncharacterized. Lineage: Eukaryota; Viridiplantae; Streptophyta; Magnoliopsida; Brassicales; Brassicaceae. The transcript has 2 exons. The record is from RefSeq and is a predicted model, not a curated record.
CGUAAGUGUGUUCCGAUUCUGGUAUAGAGCUAGAUUCUUAGGCAAUUAGUUCGUUGAGUAAGGAAACGACGACAUAUUGUUAUUAGGCUUUGUUUAGUGACUUUUUAAUUAACUUGUUUUCUUUGUCCCACACCGACUAAAGUAGAGAUAAGUUGUGUUGUUUAUAUAUUGGUAGAGAUCACAAGUGGGCACGACCUUACUUGAACAGGAUUUGUUCUAUAGGCUUGUACCUCUGUAUCCUUGGUUUAUAAGGAGACAGGACCUAAAACCUGGUUGAUGAAUCAUAUGACCGUGCAAUCUUAGUGUGAUUGACGGGGUUAGAGGUUCUUUAGGGUCUCUGUGAUCUUAGAUCUAAGUCUGAUUGACGUAAGUCUGAUCGACGAAUCGAGCAAGUUUAGAAUCUCUUCGCUGUCGAUGGUCGCCACCCGGUUAGGUCUUCCUCUCCGGGGUGGGUCGCGCGGUUGUCUGACAGUGUGAUCCUUUUUCAAUGACAUCAGUUUAGGUUGACUAUGUCAUGUAUCCUUUGAAAUUACUGAAAAUUUUGAGGACUCUUGGUACUUGUGUGUUCUUAUAAACAUUUAACUAAAGCUAGACAAAGGAGAGAGUUACGAAAGACAGACAGUUUUUAAGCACAUAGUAUGAAGACCAAUUUGCUUUGAACCUUGACAAAGCCAAAAAGUGUCAAAAGAAUGUAAUAAGCGAUUUGGUUUAGUGAAGGUACUAUGGUUGGCUGUUGGCACCACUAAUGGCUGGUAAACGAGCUUUCUCGGGGUUUCUUGUUAGCCAGAGAAAGGAACAAGAUUAAUGCUUUAAUUGAUUCUAAUGUUGUAUUUUCUUGCAAAGACACACAAGUUAACAAUUUGGAUUGGUACUGAUUAGUUAUUA